RNAcentral lists this ribosomal RNA (468 nucleotides) under uncultured bacterium. RNAcentral describes it as "partial 16S ribosomal RNA". It matches the Rfam family "Bacterial small subunit ribosomal RNA", at positions 28 to 507 of the family's 1533-position model. The record is from RNAcentral.
GACGAACGCUGGCGGCGUGCUUAACACAUGCAAGUCGAACGGAAAGGCCCUGCUUUUGUGGGGUGCUCGAGUGGCGAACGGGUGAGUAACACGUGAGUAACCUGCCCUUGACUUUGGGAUAACUUCAGGAAACUGGGGCUAAUACCGGAUAGGAGCUCCUGCUGCAUGGUGGGGGUUGGAAAGUUUCGGCGGUUGGGGAUGGACUCGCGGCUUAUCAGCUUGUUGGUGGGGUAGUGGCUUACCAAGGCUUUGACGGGUAGCCGGCCUGAGAGGGUGACCGGAUAAAUUGGGACUGCGAUAAGGCCCAGACUCCUACGGGAGGCAGCAGUGGGGAGUAUUGCACCAUGGGCGGAAGACUGAUGCAGCAACGCCGCGUGCGGGAUGACGGCCUUCGGGUUGUAAACCGCUUUCGCCUGUGACGAAGCGUGAGUGACGGUAAUGGGUAAAGAAGCACCGGCUAACUACGUG